RNAcentral lists this ribosomal RNA (447 nucleotides) under uncultured bacterium. RNAcentral's name for it is "partial 16S ribosomal RNA". It matches the Rfam family "Bacterial small subunit ribosomal RNA", at positions 29 to 523 of the family's 1533-position model. The record is from RNAcentral.
AACGAACGCUGGCGGCAGGCUUAACACAUGCAAGUCGAGCGCCCCGCAAGGGGAGCGGCAGACGGGUGAGUAACGCGUGGGAAUCCACCCAGCUCUACGGAAUAACUCAGGGAAACUUGUGCUAAUACCGUAUACGUCCUCCGGGAGAAAGAUUUAUCGGAGUUGGAUGAGCCCGCGUUGGAUUAGCUAGUUGGUGGGGUAAUGGCCCACCAAGGCGACGAUCCAUAGCUGGUCUGAGAGGAUGAUCAGCCACAUUGGGACUGAGACACGGCCCAAACUCCUACGGGAGGCAGCAGUGGGGAAUAUUGGACAAUGGGCGAAAGCCUGAUCCAGCCAUGCCGCGUGAGUGAUGAAGGCCCUAGGGUUGUAAAGCUCUUUCACCGGUGAAGAUAAUGACGGUAACCGGAGAAGAAGCCCCGGCUAACUUCGUGCCAGCCGCCGCCGUAA